Cucumis sativus (cucumber) is the source of this 3280-nucleotide long non-coding RNA. RefSeq lists it as uncharacterized. The transcript is spliced from 2 exons. The record is from RefSeq and is a predicted model, not a curated record. Lineage: Eukaryota; Viridiplantae; Streptophyta; Magnoliopsida; Cucurbitales; Cucurbitaceae.
CAUAAUCUCUUCAUCCUUUUACAUUUUGGGGAACAUAUGAGGCCAGUUACAGAGGAAGCAAUUUCGUCUUUCAAUUCUAUCUACAAUGUUUAGUCUUUUCUUAUCUGUUCUACACAUCUUUUUAACUAAACUUCUCCAGUUUUACAACCUAGAACAGCCUAAUAUUGUCCAUCCUUCAUUGAGAGGCCUUUGAUGAGGCACUGGCUUUCCAAAAGUUCUUUUGCACGUGCCUUUGUAAAUUAUCUAGAACUCUUCCCUUCCUAUCACUAGAGUUCCAUAUUUGGCUGUUGUUCAUUCAAGAGGGAGAUUGUGGUCUUUCACUGCAUCUGGCUGCUUGCUCAAAAGAUAUUUCCUUCCUGGUUCUUAAGCACCAUGGAGAACCACACCCAAAAACCAGCUAUUGGAUUGGAAAGCCAAGCCACUCAAGUACCACAUUGGUCAUCAUAUUUUAACCAAUGUGGGACAAAGGCAUUCGAUACUACCUUGGUUCCUAACGUUUUCACAGACAGUCUUUCGAAAUAACAUUACCUGGAGUGGGAUUGAAAGGAGGUUUUCCGGUGAAUUUGUCGUUUGAAUCGCUUUUUUGGUUUUUUCUGUUCCAAAAUUCUAGCCUCUCCAUUAUCCAUCAAACUUGACCAUUUCUUCUUGAUGCCCAAUAUUAAUUUUAUGAAGUUAUGUCAAUUUAAGUAAAGUUUGCUGUUUAUUUAUUUUAUUUUAAAAGUAAAGUUUUCUGUUCAUUUGUUGUCAGCAGAACAUUUACUUUUCUUCUCCCAACAAUAGUCAUGUUGUUUACUGACAUAGAUUUAUUAAAUUAUAAUUUAGAAAAGAAAAAUUGUAAUGGACAGCGAAGUAUAUUGGUGUAUUUGGACGGUUUUUGAGUAUUACAAUUAUAGCAAAUUGCUUUGAAUUUUUAUUUUUCACUUUUCUUAGUUGUGUGAUACAUGAAACACAAAAACCAUCCAUGACAUUGACAUUGAUAAUGAGAUUUCUAUUUUACAGAUAUUCAAAUAUCGAUAUCAACAAUUAUUUUUAUAAAUUAAUAAAACUAUAAGAUUUGUUUAAAUUAAUAAUUAAGUUGUUCUUUCUCUCAAAUUAAGUUAUAGUCAUAGCUUUUUUGAUGUAGUAGGAAUAGGUAUUAUGGUCAAAUCCUUAAUUUAUUAGGAUUAGGAAUAAGAUGAGUUUCUUCGGUUUAAUAGGAUUAGGAUUAGUUUCUUUUAUUAUUUAGAAUUAGGAUUAGUUUCUUUUACUUUUUAGAAUUAGGAUUAGUUUCUUUUAUUUUUUAGAAUUAGGAUUAAGUCUCUUUUAUUAUUUAGGAUUGGGAUAAGUUUCUUUUAUUAAUUAGGAUUAGGAUUAGGAUUAGGAUUAGGAUUAGUUUGCUUUUGCUAUAAAUAAAGUACUUGUUUUCUUGUAUUUACAACUUUUGAUAUUCAAGAAAAUUCUCACAUUUGGAAUAGCCAAUCGGUAUCGAAACUCCAAGAAACUUGAACCUGAUGGCGAGUGAGAAGAAAGCCUACCGGCAGUGACCGAUUGACUAGGGGUGAUCAUUGGUUGGUCGAAAUUGGUUUUCAACCAAACCGCCACCCAAUCAACUAUGGUUGGUUUAGUAAACGUGCAAACCGAUCUCGAUCGUCGAUGAGUAAAUGUUUGUCGGUUUAAUAUUUUGAAAUAUUUUUAAAAAUUUCUCGAUUUGGAACUUCCCCAAACCGGCAUCGACCAACCCCUCUCAUUCUCCGACCGAUAGACUUCGGUUUGUUCGGUGGCUCGAUUUUUUGGUCUAUCAUGCUCACCCUUAUCCGUGACAACCUUUGAAGAGGAGGAGCAAACAACUGCCCUAUCACUGAAGACAUCAACCCGACACUUGUGGUCAAUGAAAAGCUCUAUUGCUGGUAUCUUUUGUUUAGUCGAACCGAACGCAUGCUCUUGCCACUCAAUCAAUUAGAAAACAAUAUCAAUUUUCUGUGGCCAUAAAUUGGAAAUAAGCUACCUAAUUUGAAAGAGAAAACGUCCUCGAAAAUUGAGGAAAAAUCAAGGAAUAUUCCAUCUAAAAUUUCAAACAUGAAAGAGAAUACGAUCGUAACUCUAAGCGUCGAAGUGAAAAUCGAUGACAACAAAAAGCGGGGAGCUAUUGCUACCUUGGACGAAGAAGAUGAAGUUGGCAGUGUUGCAGAGGGAACCGAACCAAUCAAAAUUGAUGUUUUUGCACACAAAAAUGAAGAAACAAUUUGCUACAAGGAUGAAGAUGAAUUUUGGACUACACUAAUCUUGGAAGAACCACAAUUUACACAACAAUCAAUAAAGGAAGAAGAAGGAGCAAUAUGAAGUGGAUGUUUUCACUAUCCUUUCGCCGGUUUUCCUUUUUUUUUUUAAUUAACCUUAAAUGUCCACAACCCUCCUUAUUGGAUAUUAUUGAUGUUGGAUGUUCCCCCAAUGUCUCCAUUCGACUAGGUUAUUUUUUUUAUUUUUCCCUUCAUUUUCGUUUUAAAACUUGAGGACAAGUUAUUUUAGGGAUAAGAAUGAUGUAGUAGGAAUAGGGUAUUAUGGUCAAAUCCUUAAUUUAUUAGGAUUAGGAUUAGUUUGUUUGGUUUAUUAGGAUUAGGAUUAGGAUUAGGAUUAGUUUCUCUUAUUAUUUUUUUUUGAAAUGAAGACAAGUCUAUUUAUUAUUAAUAAAUGAGAUUUAAGCUCAAAGUACAAGAGUGUUAUACAAAGAGCAAGAUAAAAGAGAAGAAUUCAAUCAAUAACAAAAGCUAAACUUAGGCAACAAAGGAGAUGACAAGCUAAAAAAACGAAUUCCAACAGAAAAAAAAUCAAGCUAAACAGAACCACAGCCAUAGAUAUCUAAAUACAAAGGAUAACAAAAAAUUUAUCUCAUAAGGAACCCAAUUGAAUCUAAAAACUUGCAAGAAGAUGUAACCGGCUGCCUUGUAGCUGUCUUGGCAUAUUAAUCCAAAAUUUAGAGGAAGCUCGAAAAAGUCUUUCAAAACACCAGCAUCAGCAGAGAGGCUAUACUUGCCACCCACAUGAAGAGAAAUCCAAGAAAUACUGAAGUUGGUCCAACAUCUCUAAAUGGCAACCAGCUCCUUUUAGCUUCUAAUGGAACAUAUAUUUGCUUUCUUGCCCCCAUCUUCUGCCAAACCACGCAUUCCAUAGUUUCUCUUAUUGUUUAGGAUCAGGAUUAAGUUUCUUUUAUUAAUUAGGAUUAGUAUUAGUGCACUUUUGCUAUAAGUAAAGUACUUGUCUUGUACUCACAACUAUUGAUCAAUAAAAUUUUCUCUUUUGUAUA